Molecule: ribosomal RNA, 516 nt
Filed under: uncultured microorganism
Description: bacterial SSU rRNA
Rfam family: Bacterial small subunit ribosomal RNA
Source: RNAcentral
UGGUGGGGUAACGGCCUACCAAAGCGACGAUCGGUAGCUGGUCUGAGAGGAUGAUCAGCCACACUGGGACUGAGACACGGCCCAGACUCCUACGGGAGGCAGCAGUGGGGAAUAUUGGACAAUGGGCGAAAGCCUGAUCCAGCAAUGCCGCGUGAGUGAUGAAGGUCUUCGGAUUGUAAAGCUCUUCCGACGGGGAAGAUAAUGACGGUACCCGUAGAAGAAGCCCCGGCUAACUUCGUGCCAGCAGCCGCGGUAAUACGAAGGGGGCUAGCGUUGUUCGGAUUUACUGGGCGUAAAGCGUGCGUAGGCGGCUUAUCAAGUCAGAAGUGAAAGCCCGGGGCUCAACUCCGGAACUGCUUUUGAGACUGGUAGGCUGGAGUUCGGGAGAGGGUAGUGGAAUUCCCAGUGUAGAGGUGAAAUUCGUAGAUAUUGGGAAGAACACCGGUGGCGAAGGCGGCUGCCUGGCCCGAAACUGACGCUGAGGCACGAAAGCGUGGGGAGCAAACAGGAUUAGAU